Molecule: long non-coding RNA, 207 nt
Filed under: Panax ginseng (ginseng)
Lineage: Eukaryota; Viridiplantae; Streptophyta; Magnoliopsida; Apiales; Araliaceae
Description: long non-coding RNA (PGIN_LNC018640)
Source: RNAcentral
GAGCGUUGAACGUUCACGGACGUUUAUCAUUUUCGUUAAAAAUAAACCAAUAGGUGAAUUUUGAGUUAACGAAGUCAAAAAUAUAAAAUUCUUGCAUGAACACGUAGAGUAUGUGAUUUGUGAACUAAUGGAUUUUGAACGAGCCAAUUCGGACAUAAAAUGAUCAAAAUGGGAGUCCGGGAAGUUGGUUACGUAAAGAAAAAAAAU